RNAcentral lists this ribosomal RNA (441 nucleotides) under uncultured bacterium. RNAcentral's name for it is "partial 16S ribosomal RNA". It matches the Rfam family "Bacterial small subunit ribosomal RNA", at positions 338 to 795 of the family's 1533-position model. The record is from RNAcentral.
CCUACGGGAGGCAGCAGUGGGGAAUAUUGGGCAAUGGAGGAAACUCUGACCCAGCAACGCCGCGUGAAGGAUGAAGGUUUUCGGAUUGUAAACUUCUGUCGCGAGGGACGAAGAAUGACGGUACCUCGUAAGAAAGCACCGGCUAACUACGUGCAAGCAGCCGCGGGAAUACGCAGGGGGCGAGCGUUGUCCGGAAUGACUGGGCGUAAAGGGAGGGUAGGCGGUAAUAUAAGUUAGAUGUGAAAUCCCGCGGCUCAACGGCGGAACUGCAGCUAAAACUAGAUAGGUGGAGUGCAGGAGAGGUAAGUGGAAUUCGUGGUGUAGCGGUGGAAUGCGUAGAUAUUAGGAGGAACACCAGAGGCGAAGGCGACUCACUGGACUGUAACUGACGCUGAGGCUCGAAAGCGUGGGGAGCAAACAGGAUUAGAUACCCCUGUAGUC